This 492-nucleotide ribosomal RNA is filed under the name uncultured bacterium. RNAcentral describes it as "partial 16S ribosomal RNA". It matches the Rfam family "Bacterial small subunit ribosomal RNA", at positions 29 to 507 of the family's 1533-position model. The record is from RNAcentral.
AGUGAACGCUGGCGGUAGGCCUAACACAUGCCAGUCGAACGGCAGCACAGUAAGAGCUUGCUCUUACGGGUGGCGAGUGGCGGACGGGUGAGGAAUACAUCGGAAUCUACUUUUUCGUGGGGGAUAACGUAGGGAAACUUACGCUAAUACCGCAUACGACCUACGGGUGAAAGCAGGGGAUCUUCGGACCUUGCGCGAUUGAAUGAGCUGAUGUCGGAUUAGCUAGUUGGCGGGGUAAAGGCCCACCAAGGCGACGAUCCGUAGCUGGUCUGAGAGGAUGAUCAGCCACACUGGAACUGAGACACGGUCCAGACUCCUACGGGAGGCAGCAGUGGGGAAUAUUGGACAAUGGGCGCAAGCCUGAUCCAGCCAUACCGCGUGGGUGAAGAAGGCCUUCGGGUUGUAAAGCCCUUUUGUUGGGAAAGAAAAGCAGCAGGUUAAUACCCCGCUGUUCUGACGGUACCCAAAGAAUAAGCACCGGCUAACUUCGUG